AUGAGAUCAAAGACAGACUAUGUGUUUAGCAAACCUUUAAGGUCUUUGUGGCUAUGUAGCUGGACUUCCCUGGUGGCACAGGGGGUAAGAAUCCACCUGUCAAUGCAACGAAUGCAGAUUCAAUCCCUGUUCUGGGAAGACCCCACAGCUGUGGAGCAAUUAACCCCACGUACCACAACUGAGUCUGUGCUCUAGUGCCCGAGAGCCACAACUACUGAGCCCCGAGAUGCAACUGUGAGAGCCUCUGCGCCUAGAGCCCGUUCUCUGCAACGACAGACGCUAUCGCGAUGAGAAGACCGUGUACGGCAACAAAGAGUAGCCCCGCUCACCACGACCACAGAGGACCCAGCGCGGCCAAAAAUAAACAAACAAAUACAGGGCUCAGUGGUUAAGAAAUCUGCCUGCCGAAGCAGGCGUCAAGGAUUCCCAGGGUCGGGAAGAUCCCACAUGCCUUGAGCAAGCAGCUAUGCCGUGGCUGGAGGGAAACAAGGAUGGAUUCCCUUGCUGACUCCUUUCCCAAGCAGAUGCUGGUGAGGGAGCUUCCCCUUCCCCCACACUACCCUCUCCCCCACUUCUGGGCCACUGAAGAGGUUCAGAGGGGGUAGUUUUGAUACAAUCAACAAAGCCUCAGGCCUCCAGCGGCUUUCAUUGCUGUGAUUUAAGAGGAACCUGUAAGCAACUCACAAGGUAGUGCCUCUGGGGGCGGGUGGAGAGGACCGUGGUUUGAUGGGGGAGACCAAGGAGAAAAAAACACCUCAGCUUAGUAUCUCUAUCCCUUUAUUGGAGUAAAUCAUUUCAAUAUCGUAGCCUCACCGUGGUUAGAAGUGACAAAGUGAAUGUUACAAAAAACAGAGAAACUUUUAGCUGCUGAGAAACAUAAUGGCUUAUCAGUUUGCUGUGAUCAUCGCUGGCAUGGUUGGUUGGGGCCCUUUAAGGCUGAGUGACCCGUUCUGGUCACACAGCUCUGAAGAGGGAGUGCCUGGGGAGGCAAGUGUGAUAAAGAAUUGUGUCCACGCCGUCACUCAGCAGCCACCCUUAGACUGAGGCCAUUCAUCCAGUCAGGUGAGGUGGGCCACAGCAUACACCCACACUACACCAGCUCAGCAGUGCCCUUCAAGGGAGGCGGCUGUGCCUUCUGGUCUCACGUGAACUCUCGUUCUGUAUCUUCACCUGCAAUUGUGGUCCCCACUCGUAUCCCUCAGCAUGUGGAAGCUGGCAACUCCUACUGUAUUACUUAUUAAAACAAUGUUUUGUGGGGGCCAUGCCAGGCAGCGUGUGAGAUCUUACCUCCCCAACCAGGGGUGAACCUGUGCCCUCUCCAAUGGAAGCACAAUGUCUUAACCACUGGACCACCAGGAAACUCCUAAUCACGCUGCCAGUUAUCAUUGGCUGCACUUCACUUUGGCAUGCUUUAGAAUUUUUCGUGAACUUGUUUAUUGGCCGUGCUGGGUCUAAGUUGCUGUGAGAGGGCUACUCUCCGGUUGUGCUUCGCAUUGUGCUGGCUUCUCUUGUGGAACGUGGGCUCCAGGGCACCUGAGCUUUUGUAGUUGUGGCCCUCAGGUACUGGAGCACAGGCUCAGUAGUUGUGGCACACAGCAUAGCUGCCUCAAGGCAUGAGAGAUCUUCCCGACCCUGGGAAUGUGUGUCCCCUGCAUUGGCAGGCAGACUCUUAGCCACUGGACCACAAGGGAAGGCCUCCUGUAGAUUUUUCCAAAAAGUUAUUGGCUGUGCUGGGUCUUCGCUCUAGUUUGGGCAAGUGCGGCGCAAGGGCGUCACGUCGUGNNNNNNNNNNNNNNNNNNNNNNNNNNNNNNNNNNNNNNNNNNNNNNNNNNNNNNNNNNNNNNNNNNNNNNNNNNNNNNNNNNNNNNNNNNNNNNNNNNNUCUAGUUUGGGCAAGUGCGGCGCAAGGGCGUCACGUCGUGGUGGUUUCUCUUGUUGCGGAGCACAGGCUCUAAGGCUAGUGGGCUUCAGCAGGCACAUGGGCUCAGCUGGCCCUAGUCCUCAACAACAUGGUCUCGGCAGUGGAGGGGCACAGGUUUAGCAGCUUUGAGGCAUGUGGGAUCUUCCUGGACCAGGGAUCGAACCAGUGUCCCCUGCAUUACAAGGCAGAUUCUUAACCACUGGACCAUCAGGGACACCUUUCUUUAGGUUUUAAAUCUUAUUUCACUUAAUUCCUCCAGGUAAUAUCCUCCUGCUAACCUGAACUUCCUGACAUGUUCAUACAGUAGCCAGGUGGACCACCUUCAUGUGUCCCACUAUAAAUGCUUAGCUCCAUAAACACAAUUUAAAUCUACUGCUGGUUUUUAAGGUGGGAAACAAGAUAGCCAGGGAAUGCACUUAAAUUUUAAUAAUUUUGUGGCCUCAUAGAGAAUGGAAUCAAAAAGGAGUAUAACUGGUUGCAGAAAGGCUGACUGAAGCUGUUGCCUUGCUGCAGGUGAGCAGACUGUCCCCCAAGGACUCUCAACUGAAAGGAAACUAGCAAUCUAUCUGUCAUGAACUGUCAAUCAGAAUCUAAAGCU
RNAcentral lists this long non-coding RNA (2518 nucleotides) under Capra hircus (goat). RNAcentral's name for it is "lncRNA (ENSCHIG00010007825.1)". Lineage: Eukaryota; Metazoa; Chordata; Mammalia; Artiodactyla; Bovidae. The record is from RNAcentral.